CUGCCUGGCAGGACCAUCAGCAGCAGGUUAGAGAGCAAAUGUUCAUGCAGAUGAGGAGCUUCCUCAGGAAUCUGUGGUCUGUAGAUGCCCUCAAGGGUCAACAUGUGCUUUCUUUGCUAAGAUUUGGGGAUUUCUGACUUCCUGCCAGCUUGGUACGGCAACAAGGUGAUUCUGGCUAGAGUCUCAGUAGGGCUGCCACCUCUCAGCAUGGUGCCAGGAGAGGGAGCCCUGGAGUCAUCAGCUCUGGACAGGCCUGGAGGUGGCCUUUCAAGUCCUCUGACCUGCGCAUCCUGUGUGUUGCAAGUGAAGGAUCUGACACUAGCCUUCAUUUUCACUCAGUCAUCAAGCUUUCUCCAUCUCCACUGGGUAUAGGGUUUGGACACUCAGAAAGAAUUCUAGAAUCCAGUGAUAGAUCCCAGAACCAGAGACAUCUAGAGAAUCCUAGAAAGGAAUUCUAGCAUCCAGCAAUUAGGCUUUUGAAUCCAGGUUCAACAGUAAAACAAUGGGGAGUGGAAUGGAGGUAGGAUUGGAAUUUAAUAGAAUGCCCAGUCUAGAAAGGGCCCUGGUGCUUUAGAUCUGCUCCAGCCCAAGCCAGCCGAUGUGGGGACUGUGCCCUCUCACUGACCGUCUGAACCAUCAGGAGCUCCUCACUCUCACGUGGCCACUCACUCCAGGGCCUCAUCUGAUGUUCAGGAGAGUCAGUGUCAUUGCUAUGCCUACCGGAGUCUAGGGUGGGGAUACUGAGGCCAAGUGGCAUGGUCAUUUGGGUCCUGGUUCUGGAUCUUGGAUAAACUGCUAGACCUCUGGGAGCCUCGGUUUCUUCAUCUGAAUAAGGGGGUGGGGGUGGGGGGCAAGGUCAGAUGAUUUCCAAGGCCUCUUCCACUUGAGAGAGUGAGUUGCCUAAAUCCCAAGAGCUGCCAUUUGCCUUACUAGUUAGGACUACUGAAGACGAUGAUUAUCAUGUGAUGAGCACCUAAGCUGAACUGGACACUGUGCUGAGCACUUUCCAGCCACUAUCUCACUCAAAUGAGUUCAGGACCAGCGUGAGGAGGCUCCUGGCAGUUGCCCACAGGACCAGCGUGAGGAGGCUCCUGGCAGUUGGGCUGUUCCGGGCCGGCGGCAGGAGGGAGCUUGAUGCGUGCCUGGCGUGCGCAGGCCGAUGCCGCCGGCAGAAAAGA
RNAcentral lists this long non-coding RNA (1178 nucleotides) under Homo sapiens (human). RNAcentral describes it as "HSALNT0291959". The record is from RNAcentral. Lineage: Eukaryota; Metazoa; Chordata; Mammalia; Primates; Hominidae.